RNAcentral lists this transfer RNA (63 nucleotides) under Cantacader sp. RNAcentral's name for it is "tRNA-His". Lineage: Eukaryota; Metazoa; Arthropoda; Insecta; Hemiptera; Tingidae. The record is from RNAcentral.
AUUUGGAUAGUUUAUUAAAGAAUAACAAUUUGUGGUGUUGUUGGUGUAUUAUUACUUCAAAUU